RNAcentral lists this ribosomal RNA (492 nucleotides) under uncultured bacterium. RNAcentral describes it as "partial 16S ribosomal RNA". It matches the Rfam family "Bacterial small subunit ribosomal RNA", at positions 29 to 507 of the family's 1533-position model. The record is from RNAcentral.
AGUGAACGCUGGCGGUAGGCCUAACACAUGCAAGUCGAACGGCAGCACAGUAAGAGCUUGCUCUUACGGGUGGCGAGUGGCGGACGGGUGAGGAAUACAUCGGAAUCUACUUUUUCGUGGGGGAUAACGUAGGGAAACUUACGCUAAUACCGCAUACGACCUACGGGUGAAAGCAGGGGAUCUUCGGACCUUGCGCGAUUGAAUGAGCCGAUGUCGGAUUAGCUAGUUGGCGGGGUAAAGGCCCACCAAGGCGACGAUCCGUAGCUGGUCUGAGAGGAUGGUCAGCCACACUGGAACUGGGACACGGUCCAGACUCCUACGGGAGGCAGCAGUGGGGAAUAUUGGACAAUGGGGGCAAGCCUGAUCCAGCCAUACCGCGUGGGUGAAGAAGGCCUUCGGGUUGUAAAGCCCUUUUGUUGGGAAAGAAAAGCAGCAGGUUAAUACCCCGCUGUUCUGACGGUACCCAAAGAAUAAGCACCGGCUAACUUCGUG